Salvia miltiorrhiza (redroot sage) is the source of this 2008-nucleotide long non-coding RNA. RefSeq lists it as uncharacterized. The record is from RefSeq and is a predicted model, not a curated record. The transcript is spliced from 2 exons. Lineage: Eukaryota; Viridiplantae; Streptophyta; Magnoliopsida; Lamiales; Lamiaceae.
GGCUGAGAAGCAUAGAUCUUGCUCUAAGAAGGGGGGGGAGGAUUCUGAAUGGUGAUGAUGCCUUGCAAGAAACGAGCACGCCACUGGAUAUCGCGCCUUCCCCUCAGAACUCAGUGAGAUCGUCUGCUGUAUCUAUUUCUCCGGUGAUGACUCAACCGUAUUGGCAUUUUCUUGCGUGAGAUCGUCUGCCAUAUCAUGUCGACAGCAUCAUUUGGUUGAGAUGGAUACUGGUAUUCAUAGUGACCACCUAUUUCCUUUUUUUUUUUUCAACAACAUGCACCACUAUGGACUCCAGAUCAUUUAAGGUUGAAGCUAAGGCUGCGACUUUCUCUUGGCAUUUGGUGCAUCUCAAAUCAGCAGCCAAUUCUGACACCUUGUUUACUGAAGUGUUUAAGGUGGUGGUCUGCUGAGGAGGAGGCAGCAGCCGCUUGGAGCUUUGAACUUUAAGUUUUGCCAGCUCCUUCUUUGCCCAGGAAACCAAAGUCAUGCUUUAUUUGCUCCUCUCUUCUGCGUGUGUGUGUGUGAGGUGGAUGGCGUGAAGGAGACGGCGCCGGGCAUAGCUCCUUGUUGCUUCCCUAUUUUGCCGGAGCUAUGUGCGCAGCGGCAGUCUCCGGAAGCGGUGGCGGGUCUAUUGAGUUGUCUCGCGAAAGUUCAGAUGGCGAGGAGAGGCGACCGGAACGAGGCCGGAUGGCAGGCGGUUGCCGGAGAAGAGAGAGUAUGAGAAGAGAUGCGCCGCCUAGGAGUGUUGGCUGCGGUCUCAUCCGAGGAAAAGAGAGAGUAUGCAAUUUAGCCCUUGGUUGAAUUUAUGUUGGGCCAUCUUUUGGUGGGGCUUUGGGCUUCAUUGCUGGGCUUCUUUAAUUUGUAGAGAGGCCAUCUUAAAUUACACCAAGCCCAUUUCUAUAAAUCAAAUAAAUCGGGCCCAAUUUUGGAAACAAACUGGCAGCAGCGAAAGCUUGGUGAUGAUGAUUUUGGAGGGUUAUGUUCAAGAUUGGCGCAGUCUUAUCAACCAAUUUCAUGGCGGAUUUUGCCCCAAACGAGAUGCUUUGAGUAUUUGCAAAGUUUGGAAUCUAUUGUUAUUUUUUUUCGGUCUUGACAUUUCCAUCAGCCUGACUAAAGAUCAUCCUCAGAGAGUUCAUCAAAAUAUGUCAGCAGCCCAUCUAAGACCUUAUUUGAGUGAUGUUUACUUUGCACUUCAGGUGGCUCAAUUGGCUUUUAAUCAGAUUUCGGGUGCGCUCGGGUCUGGGCCAUUGUGAGUCCAACCUUUGAAGAUUGCUGGUUACAUUUUCUCUUUGCGCGCAUUCGAGCAGGCUAGAUGACUCAAUGGUGUUCUAUUAUGUUUGGCGAACAUGUGUUUCAACUCCACGAGCGCAUUCAACUUUAGCUUGGAAAGAAGUGAAUUUGUCGAUGCAUAGCCGACCUCGAUGCCAGAUAACUCAAUUCUUUGACAGGUCUUGGGUGCGCUCAGGCCUGGGAUUGUUUGAAUCUGGUUAGAGUGAGGUUGUUGUUAUGUUUGGCAUCUCACGAAGUUGGGAGAAUUCUGCACAACGGCUCGAGAAGAUUGAGUAUUUUCUUCUUGAUGCUUAAGCCAAGGAGAAUGAAGCCAUUGUCCGAAUUGCUUUGAUCAAGGAAGUGCUUGCUAUGAUAGAGAGGUGGAAGACAGAGAUGACGUUGUCCUUCAAGCAAGAUAGUGCCUCCUUUCAUAUUGUCCGAGGUGCAAUCCCAGAAUUCAAAAGAGAUUUUGACAAACAUAAAGUUGCACAUGUUGAUGAGGAAAUGCUGCGGAAUUUUGAAGACUUCAGAGUCAUUUUUGAUCUCUGCUCAGAGAACUUUGGAGGAUCAAGACCCAUUUGCUUAGUAUUGGUGCAAACCGCAAUUUCUAUCAUUUCUCUCUUGAUGAUUCUUAUUUGGUUUGUGAUGGAUAUUUUGACAUCUUCUCCAAAUGCUUGUGCUUCUUUUGAUGGCUUGAUUUUCUUCCCAAUUUGAGACAUAUUCGGCUUCACAUAAUCAA